This is a non-coding RNA of Triticum aestivum (bread wheat), 125 nucleotides long. Lineage: Eukaryota; Viridiplantae; Streptophyta; Magnoliopsida; Poales; Poaceae. The record is from Rfam.
AUUAUACUCCCUCCGUCCCAAAAUUGUUUAUCUAGAUACGGGUGUAUCUAAUACUAAAACAUGACUUGAUACAUCCAUAUCUAGACAAAUCUAAGACAAUAAUUUUGGGACGGAGGGAGUAUCUA